GAUCUUAUAGUUUAAAAAAAAUUUAAAAUUGCAAGUUUUAAGAUGAGAAUCUUCUAAGAUUU
RNAcentral lists this transfer RNA (62 nucleotides) under Empoascanara alami. RNAcentral describes it as "tRNA-Cys". Lineage: Eukaryota; Metazoa; Arthropoda; Insecta; Hemiptera; Cicadellidae. The record is from RNAcentral.